GAUGAACGCUGGCGGCGUGCCUAAUACAUGCAAGUCGAGCGAACAGACGAGGAGCUUGCUCCUCUGACGUUAGCGGCGGACGGGUGAGUAACACGUGGAUAACCUACCUAUAAGACUGGGAUAACUUCGGGACACCGGAGCUAAUACCGGAUAAUAUAUUGAACCGCAUGGUUCAAUAGUGAAAGACGGUUUUGCUGUCACUUAUAGAUGGAUCCCCGCCGCAUUAGCUAGUUGGUAAGGUAACGGCUUACCAAGGCAACGAUGCGUAGCCGACCUGAGAGGGUGUUCGGCCACACGGGAACUGAGCCACGGUCCAGACUCCUACGGGAGGCAGCAGUAGGGAAUCUUCCGCAAUGGGCGAAAGCUUGACGGAGCAACGCCGCGUGAGUGAUGAAGGUCUUCGGAUCGUAAAACUCUGUUAUUAGGGAAGAACAAAUGUGUAAGUAACUAUGCACGUCUUGACGGUACCUAAUCAGAAAGCCACGGCUAACUACGUG
Molecule: ribosomal RNA, 497 nt
Filed under: uncultured bacterium
Lineage: Bacteria
Description: partial 16S ribosomal RNA
Rfam family: Bacterial small subunit ribosomal RNA
Source: RNAcentral